This 254-nucleotide ribosomal RNA is filed under the name uncultured bacterium. RNAcentral's name for it is "partial 16S ribosomal RNA". It matches the Rfam family "Bacterial small subunit ribosomal RNA", at positions 15 to 265 of the family's 1533-position model. The record is from RNAcentral.
GAUCAUGGCUCAGGAUUAACGCUAGCGGCAGGCUUAACACAUGCAAGUCGAGGGGCAGCGCGGAGUAGCAAUACUCCGCCGGCGACCGGCGCACGGGUGCGUAACGCGUAUUCAACCUACCUUUAACAGGGGCAUAACACUGAGAAAUUGGUACUAAUUCCCCAUAACAUUCGAGAAGGCAUCUUCUUGGGUUAAAAACUCCGGUGGUUAAAGAUGGGCAUGCGUUGUAUUAGCUAGUUGGUGAGGUAACGGCU